This 506-nucleotide ribosomal RNA is filed under the name Nematoda environmental sample. RNAcentral describes it as "SSU rRNA". It matches the Rfam family "Eukaryotic small subunit ribosomal RNA", at positions 66 to 570 of the family's 1831-position model. Lineage: Eukaryota; Metazoa; Nematoda. The record is from RNAcentral.
UAAACGAUUUAAUCGUGAAACCGCGAAUGGCUCAUUAUAACAGCUAUAAUUUACUUGAUCUUGACACAAUCCUACUUGGAUAACUGUGGUAAUUCUAGAGCUAAUACAUGCAUUAAAGCUCUGACCUCACGGGAAGAGUGCAUUUAUUAGAACAAAACCAAGCGGCUUCGGCUGUUUCUGGUUGACUCAUAGUAACUGAGCUGAUCGCAUGGUCUUGCACCGGCGACGUGUCUUUCAAGUAUCUGCCGUAUCAACUUUCGAUGGUAGUGUAUCUGACUACCAUGGUGAUCACGCGUAACGGAGAAUAAGGGUUCGGCUCCGGAGAGUUCGCCUGAGAAAUCGCGAACACAUCUAAGGAAGGCAGCAGGCGCGAAAAUUACCCACUCUCAGCACGAGGAGGUAGUGACGAAAAAUAACGAGACCGUUCUCUUAUGAGGCCGGUCAUCGGAAUGGGUACAAUUUAAACCCUUUAACGAGUAUCUAUGAGAGGGCAAGUCUGGUGCCAG